This is a long non-coding RNA of Papaver somniferum (opium poppy), 1284 nucleotides long. RefSeq lists it as uncharacterized. The record is from RefSeq and is a predicted model, not a curated record. NCBI's taxonomy places the organism in Eukaryota, Viridiplantae, Streptophyta, Magnoliopsida, Ranunculales, Papaveraceae. The transcript is spliced from 3 exons.
GUGGGAAUGUUAUGAACAACCAUACUAUCAUGGAUCCUUCAAAAAUUCCCUUCUCUAUUAUGUAUAUACCCCUCCCCUUCUAAAAGGAAUCUAUGUUUCUAAUAAUUCCUGAAAUACUCAUUGAGUUUUAAAGAAAAAAAUUUCUUUUGAGAUCAGAAAUUUCUCCCUCUACUUUUCUCUCCUCCACUUUCACCCAUAACCACCAUCAGCACCAUUUUCUCCGCCGCCGCAACCACUACCAACAUCACAACAUCUUCGGUACUACCAUCACCAUCUCUAUCGCCACCGUAAAUAACACUUUACAUCCUUAGGAUUGAAAGAGAGAAACAAAUCGUCAUCGGAAAUCAUUUUAGAUUCAAAAACCGAGAAAUUUGAUAAUCUUCAUCAACAGUUUAGCAUCAUCACCAUGAUCUUCUUCUUCUUGGUUUGUCGGUGAUUUUAGAUAUCAGAUUCAGUUUCGGUAGAUCGAGAGAUCUGAUUAUAAGUUUCAUUUUCUGAAUAAUUGGAAGGAAAGCAAAGACCGGUGAUAACGUUCUAAAGUCGCCACUGGUUUUGUUGUAGAAGGAGAAAGGUGUUGCGGCAGCUAGACCUGAUGUCAAAUCAGGUGCUGGUGACAUGGAAAGGAAACUAGUAUAUUUUCGGAGAGUUUACAACAGAUAAUUUAUUGUGUGGGAUUGUAGAGAUGAUGGGGAUCGAAAUGUAGUUAUGGAACUGUUUAUGGAUCAUUUCAGAUGCGGUGGAGAAGCAAACAGAACAGGUUGGUCUUACUUAAACUGGUCAGAAUGUGAACAAGCGAUAAUGGAAAGUUAAAUUUGCUGAAUAUUUGUUCUGGGUUUGUUUUUUUGUUUAGUUCAUCAGUGUUUUCCACAAGGAAAGAUAAUUUAAGUAGUUAAUUAACAACAUUUCAUGAAUAACUAUCUUCUUUGUUUAAAAUUUGUUAGUUCAUAGGUUUUGAAGUUGUUCUAAUUCCUUUUCCCUACUUUCACUAUCUGGAAGUCGAAACUAAAAUGCCAUUCAGUUAGUGUUUCUUGCUGGAUUUUUAACUUGCCCUACUACUAAGAUUUAGAUUUUUGGAAACAACCUCAUCAAGUUGCCUCCAACUUUGGGAACAACUUGUCAAGUUGUUUCCAUUGUUAGAAGCAACUUGUGCUAGUUGCUUCCUUUAUCUGGAGACAACUUGUAUAUGUUAUAAACACCAACUCGUAACUUGUAUAUGUUAUAAACACCACUUGAUAUUCUGGUGGUGUUUCUGAGAUGAAUCUCAAGAUUCUUAGAAAAUGGGUU